AAACUUUUGAACCUGGACUUGAAGCGAUUAUAACCUAGACACCUUUGUUGAAGAAGCUGGUGAUGGACUAUACCAUGUUACUAUGGCCUUCAGAGGAAGGGCUGAAAUUUGAUGGAAACAAGGAGACAGGACUGAUGGACCAGACACCAGGAGAGGCUUUUCGAAAACAAUCCUGUCACUAGCAAGGGGUUUUGUUUCCUUCUAUCAGGGAAAAAUUCCAAGUGACAUUCCACUAAGGAACAGGAGGUUGGCUCAGCCCGACCAGAAAAUCAAGCUUCACAUUUUGAAAUGCUAUGGAAGUUAAAGAAAAUGAAGUGGGAGCUUCUGUGGGCAGACA
Long non-coding RNA from Ailuropoda melanoleuca (giant panda), 337 nucleotides. RefSeq lists it as uncharacterized. NCBI's taxonomy places the organism in Eukaryota, Metazoa, Chordata, Mammalia, Carnivora, Ursidae. The record is from RefSeq and is a predicted model, not a curated record. The transcript has 3 exons.